Molecule: ribosomal RNA, 420 nt
Filed under: Bacillus paranthracis
Lineage: Bacteria; Bacillati; Bacillota; Bacilli; Caryophanales; Bacillaceae
Description: bacterial SSU rRNA
Rfam family: Bacterial small subunit ribosomal RNA
Source: RNAcentral
CCAUCAUUAAGUUGGGCACUCUAAGGUGACUGCCGGUGACAAACCGGAGGAAGGUGGGGAUGACGUCAAAUCAUCAUGCCCCUUAUGACCUGGGCUACACACGUGCUACAAUGGACGGUACAAAGAGCUGCAAGACGCGAGGUGGAGCUAAUCUCAUAAAACCGUUCUCAGUUCGGAUUGUAGGCUGCAACUCGCCUACAUGAAGCUGGAAUCGCUAGUAAUCGCGGAUCAGCAUGCCGCGGUGAAUACGUUCCCGGGCCUUGUACACACCGCCCGUCACACCACGAGAGUUUGUAACACCCGAAGUCGGUGGGGUAACCUUUUGGAGCCAGCCGCCUAAGGUGGGACAGAUGAUUGGGGUGAAGUCGUAACAAGGUAGCCGUAUCGGAAGGUGCGGCUGGAUCACCUCCUUUCUAUGGA